UACAGAGGUGGCAAGCGUUGUUCGGAAUUACUGGGCGUAAAGGGCGCGUAGGCGGCCUUCUAAGUCAGACGUGAAAUCCCCCGGCUUAACCUGGGAACUGCGUCUGAUACUGGGAGGCUAGAGUGCGGGAGAGGGAUGCGGAAUUCCAGGUGUAGCGGUGAAAUGCGUAGAUAUCUGGAGGAACACCGGUGGCGAAGGCGGCAUCCUGGACCAACACUGACGCUGAGGAGCGAAAGCCAGGGGAGCAAACAGG
RNAcentral lists this ribosomal RNA (253 nucleotides) under uncultured bacterium. RNAcentral's name for it is "partial 16S ribosomal RNA". It matches the Rfam family "Bacterial small subunit ribosomal RNA", at positions 524 to 776 of the family's 1533-position model. The record is from RNAcentral.